UACGGAGGUGGCAAGCGUUGUUCGGAAUUACUGGGCGUAAAGGGCGCGUAGGCGGCAAGGCAAGUCAGGUGUGAAAGCCCCGGGCUCAACUCGGGAACUGCAUCUGAAACUGCUGUGCUUGAGUCCUGGAGGGGGUAGUGGAAUUCCCAGUGUAGCGGUGAAAUGCGUAGAUAUUGGGAGGAACACCGGUGGCGAAGGCGGCUACCUGGACAGUGACUGACGCUGAGGCGCGAAAGCUAGGGGAGCGAACGGG
Molecule: ribosomal RNA, 253 nt
Filed under: uncultured bacterium
Lineage: Bacteria
Description: partial 16S ribosomal RNA
Rfam family: Bacterial small subunit ribosomal RNA
Source: RNAcentral